CCUACGGGUGGCAGCAGUGAGGAAUAUUGGUCAAUGGGCGUAAGCCUGAACCAGCCAAGUCGCGUGCGGGAUGAAGGUUCUAUGGAUCGUAAACCUCUUUUAUAAGGGAAUAAAGUGCGGGACGUGUCCCGUUUUGUAUGUACCUUAUGAAUAAGGAUCGGCUAACGUCGGGCCAGCAGCCCCGGUAAUAGGGAGGAUCCGAGCGUUAUCCGGAUUUAUUGGGUUUAAAGGGUGCGUAGGCGGCCUUUUAUGUCAGUGGUGAAAGUCUGUGGCUCAACCAUAGAAUUGCCGUUGAAACUGGGAGGCUUGAGUAAGUUUGAGGUAGGCGGAAUGCGAGGUGUAGCGGUGAAAUGCUUAGAUAUCACGCAGAACCCCGAUUGCGAAGGCAGCCUGCCGAGCCAUGACUGACGCUGAUGCACGAAAGCGUGGGGAUCAAACAGGAUUAGAUACCCCGGUAGUC
RNAcentral lists this ribosomal RNA (460 nucleotides) under uncultured bacterium. Its description in RNAcentral is "partial 16S ribosomal RNA". It matches the Rfam family "Bacterial small subunit ribosomal RNA", at positions 338 to 795 of the family's 1533-position model. The record is from RNAcentral.